Molecule: ribosomal RNA, 406 nt
Filed under: uncultured bacterium
Lineage: Bacteria
Description: partial 16S ribosomal RNA
Rfam family: Bacterial small subunit ribosomal RNA
Source: RNAcentral
AUUGAACGCUGGCGGCAGGCCUAACACAUGCAAGUCGAACGAGUGGCGGACGGGUGAGUAAUGUCUGGGAAACUGCCUGAUGGAGGGGGAUAACUAAUGGAAACGGUAGCUAAUACCGCAUACCAUCGGAUGUGCCCAGAUGGGAUUAGCUAGGAGGUGGGGUAACGGCUCACCUGGGCGACGAUCCCUAGCUGGUCUGAGAGGAUGACCGGCACAACUGGAACUGAGACACGGUCCAGACUCCUACGGGAGGCAGCAGUGGGGAAUAUUGCACAUGGGGCGCAAGCCUGAUGCAGCCAUGCCGCGGGUAUGAAGAAGGCCUUCGGGUUGUAAAGUACUUUCAGAGGGGAGGCGUUACCCGCAGAGGAAGCACCGGCUAACUCCGUGCCAGCCGCCGCGGUAAUUC